Molecule: long non-coding RNA, 896 nt
Filed under: Rattus norvegicus (Norway rat)
Lineage: Eukaryota; Metazoa; Chordata; Mammalia; Rodentia; Muridae
Description: long non-coding RNA NONRATT031419
Source: RNAcentral
GGGAUUUCUAUUGUAUCUCGAGAUUCUAGAGCUGAGACCUAAACCCUGAAUUCCCACUCUGAAGCCAGUGAUUAUUAUUUUUUUAUUGGUUUUUGCUGUGGCUGCCGUUUUGUUUUUAUUAUGUUUUAUUUAUUUGCAUCUGUGCACGUGUGGGUGGAGGUCAGAGUAUAGCUUGUGAGGAUCAGUUCUCUCCUACCAUUGUAAAUAUCAAGGCUUGAAAUCAGGUUGUCAGGCUUGGCCGCAAAUGCUUUUCCCCACUGAGCCAUCUUGCUAGCUUCAGGUUCUUUGUUUUCUGACUCCUGUUUUGGGUGUCCUGUGGUCCAGGUUGGCCUCACACAGAUGACCUUCAGCUCCUGUCUCCUCCUGCCAAGUACUGGGAUGACAGGUGUGUACUACCAGCCUAGCAGUGAGCAGCAUGGCAGCCCUAGCAUCUGACCCUAACAACCCCAAGCUCUCCCCUUCCCUCCUCUACCAGGAAUACCCCACUCACCCGACUCACCCACAAACUCCUGCUACCACUGUCUGAACAGACUACCUCUUCUGAGGAGAUGGCCUGGAUUGCUUUCUCCUGCUGCCUGUAUCCCCAUGGAACCCUCGCAUCUAGCACUCAGGAGAGCUUCCAACUUGCCUGGCUCCACCUUUCCAAGUUGCGGACUCUGUUGUGUGUUCACCCCACCUUCCCUAAGACACCCUACAAAGUGAAGAUUCGGGAAAACCUACAGACCAGCAGCAGCUGGUGCUUCCGAUGAACCAGAGAACAAACGGAAAGUAAAGAAAAGUGUGGAUCAAAGGAAAGGAGACAGCUGAACAGAUCUCUGAAAGCAGCGAUGGCUGCAGCCAUGGGGACCCCUGAGUCUUCUUUUUAAUUCAUUCUCUCUCUCUCUCUCUCUCUCUCU